UGUAAGGGAGCUACCAUUUGAUUUUUAUGGGGGGGCUAGGAUGAAAUUUGAAAAAAAUAGGCAGGACAAGAGUUUUGAGUAAAAAAAAAAGGCAGGAUGAGAAUCUUGUUAAAAAAAAAGGCAGGAUGACAUUUUGUGUAAAAAAAGUCAGGAUAAACUAGUAAAAAAAAAGGCAGGACCGAAUAGAGUAAAAAAUAAAAAGGCAGGACAGAGAUUACAACUAAAAAAAAACAGGACAAAAUUUUUUCAUCCUAGCCCCCCCAUAAAAAUCAAAUGGUAGCUCCCUAAGGAACUUUGAAUAUUGUUC
RNAcentral lists this long non-coding RNA (307 nucleotides) under Mytilus galloprovincialis (Mediterranean mussel). Lineage: Eukaryota; Metazoa; Mollusca; Bivalvia; Mytilida; Mytilidae. The record is from RNAcentral.